CAAUGGGCGCAAGCCUGAUCUAGCCAUGCCGCGUGUGUGAUGAAGGUCUUAGGAUCGUAAAGCACUUUCGCCAGGGAUGAUAAUGACAGUACCUGGUAAAGAAACCCCGGCUAACUCCGUGCCAGCAGCCGCGGUAAUACGGAGGGGGUUAGCGUUGUUCGGAAUUACUGGGCGUAAAGCGUACGUAGGCGGAUCAGAAAGUUAGGGGUGAAAUCCCGAGGCUCAACCUCGGAACUGCCUCUAAAACUCCUGGUCUUGAGUUCGAGAGAGGUGAGUGGAAUUCCAAGUGUAGAGGUGAAAU
RNAcentral lists this ribosomal RNA (301 nucleotides) under uncultured bacterium. RNAcentral's name for it is "bacterial SSU rRNA". It matches the Rfam family "Bacterial small subunit ribosomal RNA", at positions 369 to 687 of the family's 1533-position model. The record is from RNAcentral.